RNAcentral lists this transfer RNA (75 nucleotides) under Verrucomicrobiales bacterium. RNAcentral describes it as "tRNA-Thr". It matches the Rfam family "tRNA". Rfam says of the family: Transfer RNA (tRNA) molecules are approximately 80 nucleotides in length. Their secondary structure includes four short double-helical elements and three loops (D, anti-codon, and T loops). Further hydrogen bonds mediate the characteristic L-shaped molecular structure. tRNAs have two regions of fundamental functional importance: the anti-codon, which is responsible for specific mRNA codon recognition, and the 3' end, to which the tRNAs corresponding amino acid is attached (by aminoacyl-tRNA synthetases). tRNAs cope with the degeneracy of the genetic code in two manners: having more than one tRNA (with a specific anti-codon) for a particular amino acid; and 'wobble' base-pairing, i.e. permitting non-standard base-pairing at the 3rd anti-codon position. The record is from RNAcentral. Lineage: Bacteria; Pseudomonadati; Verrucomicrobiota; Verrucomicrobiia; Verrucomicrobiales.
GCCAAAGUAGCUCAGUGGUAGAGCAACGGUUUCGUAAACCGUAGGUCAAGGGUUCAAUCCCCUUCUUUGGCUCCA